This 625-nucleotide ribosomal RNA is filed under the name uncultured bacterium. RNAcentral's name for it is "bacterial SSU rRNA". It matches the Rfam family "Bacterial small subunit ribosomal RNA", at positions 249 to 885 of the family's 1533-position model. The record is from RNAcentral.
UUGGUGGGGUAAUGGCCUACCAAGGCGACGACGGGUAGCCGGCCUGAGAGGGCGACCGGCCACACUGGGACUGAGACACGGCCCAGACUCCUACGGGAGGCAGCAGUGGGGAAUAUUGCACAAUGGGCGGAAGCCUGAUGCAGCGACGCCGCGUGAGGGAUGACGGCCUUCGGGUUGUAAACCUCUUUCACCCAUGACGAAGCGCAAGUGACGGUAGUGGGAGAAGAAGCGCCGGCCAACUACGUGCCAGCAGCCGCGGUAAGACGUAGGGCGCGAGCGUUGUCCGGAAUUAUUGGGCGUAAAGAGCUCGUAGGCGGUUUGUCGCGUCGACUGUGAAAACCUACAGCUUAACUGUGGGCUUGCAGUCGAUACGGGCAGACUUGAGUUCGGUAGGGGAGACUGGAAUUCCUGGUGUAGCGGUGAAAUGCGCAGAUAUCAGGAGGAACACCGGUGGCGAAGGCGGGUCUCUGGGCCGAUACUGACGCUGAGGAGCGAAAGCGUGGGGAGCGAACAGGAUUAGAUACCCUGGUAGUCCACGCCGUAAACGGUGGGAACUAGGUGUGGGGGACUUCCACGUCCUCCGUGCCGUAGCUAACGCAUUAAGUUCCCCGCCUGGGGAGUACGG